This 1486-nucleotide long non-coding RNA is filed under the name Oryctolagus cuniculus (rabbit). Its description in RNAcentral is "lncRNA (ENSOCUG00000032681.1)". Lineage: Eukaryota; Metazoa; Chordata; Mammalia; Lagomorpha; Leporidae. The record is from RNAcentral.
GUGCACUCUGCCAGUGGGUGGGGAACACGAGAAAGGACCUGUGGUGUGGAAUCCUGCAUUGGGGUCCAGGGUGCUAUCCACAAAGGCUCCCCUCAGGCCAGCCAGGGGGCUCAGAGCAGCAGGUAUGAGUUCUGUGCAGUCACAGGCACAUGUCCGGGAGGAUGGGAGGAGACAGACAGUUCAUAUCCAGCUGUCCCUCAGGGUCAUGGUCACCAGGAGGAGGGAGACAGAGCACUCACACCUGGCUGCCCUCAGGGCUGUGGUGACCUGGGGCUGCUGCACGAGGCAAUCUGGAUCCAGUGCCGAGGGACUGGGAGAAUGUGGAGAACAGGAGAACUGGAAUCUGCUUCAGGGAGUUGCCUAACCAGGGGAGGAGUGCAAGCUGAUCAGGAUCAGCCCUUUGUUGUCUUCUGGGUGCCCUGCAGGUGUGUGAACCACCUUGUUUUUGGGCUUCCAGGUCACACAAGUUCCUCCUCCCAGAAGUGAAAGCAGUGAGGAAAGGCCCAGCCUCCUGCCCGCACAGUCCAGGGCUGAAGUCUUGGUGCACUUGGUGUCACUCAGUUGGUGGGGACUUUAUUACAAAGUUAUCAAUGGGGGAAGCAGGGAUUGGACUAUUUCCUGCACCUCUUGUGACUCCCAGCGCAGGGACUCACUUCCUGUCCAGAUCAGUUUCUGCUGCUUCUCACCCAGUGUACGCAGAGGACAGAUCCUAUGGGUCACGUUUUUGCAUUAAACUAAACUAAAUUAGAUUUGAUUGAACUUGCCUCACAGGUAGUGGACUGCACCCUGAUUUAGCAAGAAAAGUGCAUUCUUGGGACACACGACUGUGUCUCGGCCAAUCACAGCAGCUGGGCUCUGCUCCCAGGGGCCCAGAGGCACCUGCUGCCCUGCACGCUCUUCGUAGCUUUCGUCUCACCGUCACCAAUCCCUGCCGCUCCCUGGGAUUUACCCAACGAGCUGUCCCUCUGUCAGUCAGACACGCACAGCAUCCGUAUUCACAAUACAAAUCUGGGAGCAACCACGAUGUGCUACAACAGUUGAAAUGAGUAAACAAGCUGUGAUGUAGGCAUAGAAGAAGUGCUGUUUGCUGACAAUACGUAUUUCUCGGGAUAUACUGGAGCGCAUGUUGCUGAGUGAAUAGGCCAGUCUGCAAAGGCUGUCUCCUGUGUGGUCUUGACUGCAUGCACUCUCAAAGAAGCAGGACUAUGGAGCCUGCACCGUGAUCCAGGGUUUCAGGGUCAAGGGGCGCGGGAGAGUCAGGGCAGUGAAAUUAUUCUAUCUGGCAUUGAAAUGGUGGAUACUUAAAACUACAUAUUCUGUAGGACAAAACCUGUGAAUUUAUGCCAUAAGGAGAGCACUUUAAUCUAAAGUACAUACAAUUUAUCAACACUUAUUCAUCACUUGUAAGAUGCUAAUAGUGGGAGAAACAUGUGGCUAUUUGGACUUCCUUGUAUUUCUGCUCAAUUUUUCUUUAAAUCUAGAACUU